This 303-nucleotide small nuclear RNA is filed under the name Chinchilla lanigera (long-tailed chinchilla). RNAcentral's name for it is "7SK RNA (ENSCLAG00000021879.1)". It matches the Rfam family "7SK RNA". Rfam says of the family: 7SK was discovered as an abundant small nuclear RNA in the mid-70s but a possible function has only recently been suggested. Lineage: Eukaryota; Metazoa; Chordata; Mammalia; Rodentia; Chinchillidae. The record is from Rfam by way of RNAcentral.
GGAUGUGAGGGCAAUCUGGCUGCGACAUCUGUCGCCCCAUGGACUGCGAGGGUUGAGUCGGCUGAUCUGGCUGGCUAGGCAAUGUCCCCUUCCUACCUCACCACUCCGUGUGUGUCCUCUCAAAGCUGCCUGCUUGGCUGAAAAGGACAACCACCCCGACAGAGGAGGGCGUUUCCUCUGUCAAAGGUAUAUGAGUAACCGGGAUCCCCUGCUAGAACCUCCAAACAAGCUCUCAAGUUAAAGGGAAAAAUGACAGAGGGUUAAUAUUACAGAACUUCAUCUUGAUUUUAUUUAUAAGACUGA